AGCUGGUGUUGUGAAUCAGGCCGG
Molecule: non-coding RNA, 24 nt
Filed under: Drosophila melanogaster (fruit fly)
Lineage: Eukaryota; Metazoa; Arthropoda; Insecta; Diptera; Drosophilidae
Also listed under: 5 other names
Source: RNAcentral